AUCGGUUGAUGAUGGCAAUUAGAGAGCGUGAAGAGCCCUCGACUGACUGGGCCACAUUCUCCUGUCAGGUGAUGGCAUCAUGUUUGACAUAUGAAGAUGCAAAGUACAAAGAAAAAAAUUCGGAAGCGACGUCCGACCUAACAUUGAAUAAUGAAGAGCGGGAGAAGAGAAAAAGGAAGGGACUGCAGCAUACUCUUUCUUCAUUUGAGGAUGAGGACUUCUAUGACCAAGAUGAACGACGUAACACUCAGCCAGCCCCUCAACUUCCAGAACGUGCACCAGAGCCCAAGCAAAAACGCACACGUGAGCUGUGCGCACCUGCUUUAAACAGAAGGCAGAAAACAAUGAGCCAGCCAUCAUCGUGCAGGAAGCCGACGCCAAAUGGGCUGCUGCUGAAUCGGUCAGGCAUGCACCAGCUAGGACCAAGAAAAUGGAGCAGUGUGCCCCUUCUCAGGAGUGACUGAGGGGCUGCCACAAGGGGAGAAGGCAAGCAUGUUUCUGAUUACAAGGAUGGACAGUUGGGCUGGGCUAGUUGCCAUCCCAUGAGUAGAGUCCCUGUUGUUUGAAU
This 568-nucleotide unclassified non-coding RNA is filed under the name Ixodes scapularis (black-legged tick). RNAcentral describes it as "uncharacterized LOC115331891, transcript variant X2". The record is from RNAcentral. Lineage: Eukaryota; Metazoa; Arthropoda; Arachnida; Ixodida; Ixodidae.